UGGGGAAUUUUGGACAAUGGGCGCAAGCCUGAUCCAGCAAUGCCGCGUGAAUGAUGAAGGUCUUAGGAUUGUAAAAUUCUUUCACCGGGGACGAUAAUGACGGUACCCGGAGAAGAAGCCCCGGCUAACUUCGUGCCAGCAGCUGCGGUAAUACGAAGGGGGCUAGCGUUGCUCGGAAUUACUGGGCGUAAAGGGAGCGUAGGCGGACAGUUAAGUCAGGGGUGAAAUCCCGGGGCUCAACCUCGGAAUUGCCUUUGAUACUGGCUGGCUUGAGUGUGAGAGAGGUAUGUGGAACUCCGAGUGUAGAAGUGAAAUUCGUAGAUAUUCGGAAGAACACCAGUGGCGAAGGUGACAUACUGGCUCAUUACUGACGCUGAGGCUCGAAAGCGUGGGGAGCAAACA
Molecule: ribosomal RNA, 402 nt
Filed under: uncultured bacterium
Lineage: Bacteria
Description: bacterial SSU rRNA
Rfam family: Bacterial small subunit ribosomal RNA
Source: RNAcentral